This 509-nucleotide ribosomal RNA is filed under the name uncultured bacterium. Its description in RNAcentral is "partial 16S ribosomal RNA". It matches the Rfam family "Bacterial small subunit ribosomal RNA", at positions 36 to 538 of the family's 1533-position model. The record is from RNAcentral.
GACGAACGCUGGCGGCGUGCUUAACACAUGCAAGUCGAACGGAAAGGCCCUGCUUUUGUGGGGUGCUCGAGUGGCGAACGGGUGAGUAACACGUGAGUAACCUGCCCUUGACUUUGGGAUAACUUCAGGAAACUGGGGCUAAUACCGGAUAGGAGCUCCUGCUGCAUGGUGGGGGUUGGAAAGUUUCGGCGGUUGGGGAUGGACUCGCGGCUUAUCAGCUUGUUGGUGGGGUAGUGGCUUACCAAGGCUUUGACGGGUAGCCGGCCUGAGAGGGUGACCGGCACGAGGGCGUCAGAGAUGCGCCGGAGGCUCGUAGGGGAGGCGGCGGUGGGGCGUGAGGCACGAGGGGCGCACGCGGGAUGCGGCGCCGCGGCGUGGGGGAGGACGGCGUGCGCGUCGAACCUCGCUGCCGGGUGUGACGAGGUGGGGGUGGCGGUGAGGAGUAAAGAAGCGCCGGCGAAGUGCGUACCAGCGGCCGCGUUAAUAGGGGGAAGAGCACACGUCUGCCC